UCGACUGAACUACCACGAACGCUGCAAUGACGGACGUUGCUCUGUAAAUUAUGUAAAAUAAAUAUAGAUAUAUGACGCUACAUACCUGUGAAUACGUUGCUGCCACAUUCACCGGAAGAAGGGUGUUCUGAAAAUCUUUCGGAAAGGAAAAGCAAUAUGUUUUUAACAGAUGAUGUGUCCAAGAGGAUUUGUAGGAUUUAACGACGUUGUUCAAACACGAGAACCAAACGCUCGGAUAAGAAAAGGAGUAAUAACCAGCCAAAUCGCAUUUAUAUCCAACGAGAUGUGUACGAACUGUUGAAUCUUUGACAUAAAUUGGAUCUAGCGCUGAAUACCUUCCGGCCAGCUGCUGUAGUUGAAAUAACGAAAGAGGUAUGCAUCACACCGGAUACACCUGAAAAUCCCCCUCAUUCACUGAAGGUCACUUACUUGUGAAUCAGUUACCUCUGAAUGAGCCAGAAGAAACUGUAGGUAGGAAAUGGAGAUAAGGAACAUACAUGGUAAGAACUGAAUCAAACUGUUAGGAUAUACCAAGAGAACAAGCAGCCUCAGAUACUCCUUCAAACUCAAGGGAACUUGGAAGGUAAGACCAUAAGAUACUACAAAAUUGUUGUAACUGGCAACACUGGACAGACGGCUGAGAAACUUCAUAACAGGUUGAGAGGGUGAUCACAGAGAGAAAGAGACGGGGACUGACAUAGAGCCAGAGCACAGGAGGGGUGGGCGGAGAAGGAGUGGAAAAGGUCAAUUGCCAUGGCAACAGACCCAGGAGAGCCCACUGCCACAGAGGAGUCCUCUGGGGAGAAACCUGAUGGAGAGGAGGAAAGUGACAAGGGGAUCGGGGCCACCCACGGGAGAGAGAGGAUGCACAGCACUCCGUCUGACUUUGCCUCCUCCCAGACCCAGGAAAGGGGAGCAGGAGGAGAAGUGGAGAACAAUAAAGAAAUGGAGAUGUCCGUUAGACCUCUAACCUUCUUCAUGCCUUCCUUCCCGGCAACCCACGAGCCUUGCCAGAGACGCAAGAACCAGCGCUUCUUUAGAAAGAGUGUGGAAAUAUGCGAGGAAGAUGAUGAGGUGGAAGAAACCCUUGAUGCUCCUCACAGCGCUCCUCACCUAGAGUUUUGUGCCUCAGACUCCGUUUUCAGCAGCGUAGCCCAGCAGCUACCCGCCAGUGCCUCUGCCGCCUUGGGUGAAAAUGGCACUCCUAGUAUCCAGGACCCUGAGAAGAGCACACUUUCAGCUUCCUCUCUGAAGGGGAAGGAGAGAGAUUGCGAACAAGAGGAGGAAGCUGAGAUGAAGGCUGUAGCCACUUCACCUAGUGGCCGUUUCCUCAAGUUUGACAUAGAGCUUGGAAGAGGAGCGUUCAAAACGGUUUUUAAAGGUCUGGACACAGAAACCUGGGUGGAAGUCGCCUGGUGUGAACUACAGGAUCGGAAGCUAACCAAGGCAGAGCAGCAACGGUUUAAAGAGGAGGCUGAGAUGCUGAAGGGUCUACAGCACCCCAACAUUGUGCGUUUCUAUGACUCCUGGGAGUCUGUUCUUAGAGGCAAGAAGUGCAUUGUCCUAGUCACGGAGCUCAUGACCUCUGGAACACUCAAAACGUAUCUUAAACGCUUUAAGGUGAUGAAGCCCAAGGUUCUACGUAGCUGGUGCAGGCAAAUCCUUAAGGGGCUACAGUUCCUACAUACCCGUACGCCACCAAUUGUGCACCGUGACCUCAAGUGUGACAAUAUCUUCAUCACGGGCCCCACCGGCUCAGUAAAGAUUGGUGACUUGGGCCUUGCAACCCUCAUGCGGACAUCUUUUGCCAAGAGUGUUAUAGGGACUCCAGAGUUCAUGGCCCCAGAGAUGUAUGAGGAGCACUAUGAUGAGUCAGUGGAUGUUUAUGCAUUUGGAAUGUGCAUGCUGGAGAUGGCUACCUCAGAGUACCCAUAUUCAGAAUGCCAAAAUGCUGCACAGAUCUACCGCAAAGUCACAAGUGGCAUCAAACCUGCCAGUUUUGACAAAGUAAAUGACCCAGAGGUAAAAGAGAUCAUUGAGGGCUGUAUUCGCCAAAAUAGAUUAGAACGGCUCUCUGUCAAGGACCUUCUAAAUCAUGCCUUCUUUGCGGAGGAUACCGGUGUGCGUGUGGAGCUUGCAGAGGAAGAUACUGGCUCCAAAGACUGCCUGGCCCUACGCAUCUGGGUUGAGGAGCCUAAGAAACUCAAGGGCAAGCAUAAAGACAAUGAGGCCAUCGAGUUCAGCUACGACCUGGAGAAUGAUAGUGCCGAAGAGGUUGCUCUAGAGAUGGUGAAGUCUGGAUUUUUCCAUGAAAGUGAUGCUAAGGUAGUGGGGAAAUCCAUCAGAGACAGGGUGACUCUAAUUAAGAAAUCACGGGAAAGGCGGCAACAGCAGCUCCUCCAACAGCAGCAAAGUCUGGACGAGCAUCGUGACUCAACAGUCCUCACCUCCUCCUUUAACCCUGUCCAUCCCUCCUGCCCCUCCUCACUGGGUCCAGCUGUUGCUAUAGGUGCUGGGGGGCAGGGGGAGGCAGAAGAGCUGCCAGAAGUGAACAAACUUGUCCAACAGCAAGGCAAUGCAUUGAGUCUCAAAGAAGGUGAGAGCCUUUCUAUUGUCAGUGGGGAUCCUUUCUCAAGUGGGCAAAGCCAUGCUUUCUCUCUAGCUGAGUCCAAGAACCCAUGUGCUUGUGUUCAAACCAGCUACCCCUCUGGCACCUCUGGAGUGAAAGGUAUCGGGGUUGUGUCUCACCCCCAGCUGCUCCCUAUUGGUCAGAGUGGAGGGAUUCUAAAUGUGCCUGUUGGCCAGAAUGGUGGGAUAUCUGGCAUUUCCUUUGGCCAAAGUGCUGGUGGGGCUCCUAACAUUCCUCUGGCACAGACUUUCAUUCAGCCAGUCACCAUGACAUCACAGGUCCCAUUAAGUGUGCCUCAACAAUAUUCUCAGCCCAUCCCACCAUACACAACAGAUAUUACACCUUCUCAAAUAUUACACCCUCGGCCUAGUGAUACCUCCACUCCCCACAGUUCUCUUGUGCAUUCAGAGUCAUACACCUCCUCAGUAUCGCCCCAUGCUCCCUUAGCUGUCCACACUGACUCCAUCCCUGUUGGAGAGCCCAUAGCAUCAGCUGGCAACGUUAUGCCCCCCAUGCAGACCCAACCUAGUAAUGCUCCUGUACAACCCACUGAUGUUUUGCCCCAACAAACCAUUGUUCAGCCCAAACAUCAGGCAGUGUUAGAAUUGCCAGGAACAUUGCAACUAAACAUCCAGCAACAAACACCACAAAAGCAGGCAAAUAUAAUGCAGCAGCACCAGGUAGCGCUGUUACCACAGCAGAAAGACCAGGUUCAGCCAGCGACAGUUUUAUUACAACAUUCACAGCAUAUAGAACAGCCCCGCAUGAAUUUACAGGAACAACAGCCACAUUCAGGUUUAUCCCAGCAGCCAUAUAUUCCCUUGCCACAGCAGCAACAGCAAACAUUGUCCAUCUUGCACCAAAGUGAGUUACAACAGCAGGUGUACCUACAACAGCCCCAGCAACAAGUUGUGAAACAGCAGCAAGUUCAACAACCAAUGCAGCAAACGUCAGUACAACAACCCCCAGUGGAACAAUAUCAACAGACACAGCAACAGCAGGCACAGCCAAUUUAUUUGCCACAAAUGGCUGAAUCACAAGAGCAGAACAUGUUAAAGACAAUGGGACAACAGCCACAAAUGCUUCAAACAAUCCAGCAGCCAUUACAAUUGGCAGGGCAACAAAUGGAGCAGCAACAGAAGGCUGUUUUGCAAAAGCAUUUGGAGCAUCAAAGUCAACAGCAAGUUUACAUUCAAUCACCUCAGAAGCAACCACAAGUUGAGCAACAAAUUAUUUUGCAGCAACAGCAAAACAUGGCAGUGCAGCAGCAGAUGGAGCAACAACAGCAGGCUCUACAGCAACAGCAACAAAUAGAGCAGCAACAACAAACCAUUUUACAACAACAAGUGGAACAACAAAUACAACAUCAACAGGUUCUUUUUCAGCAACAUCAGCUGGAACAGCAGCAGGUUAUAUUGCAGCAGCAACAGCGUGAACAACAGCAGGCUCUUUUACAACAACAACAGUUAGAACAGCAAGCCUUGCUACAACAGCAGCAACAACUCCAGUUAAAGCAGCAACAAGCUCUUUUACAUCAGCAACAGUUAGAACAGAAACAGCAGGCUUUGCUUAAACAGCAGCAGCAACAGCAGUUAGAGCAACAGCAAACUGUUUUACAGCAACAACAGCAGCAAGCACUCAUUCAGCAGUUGCAACAGCAGCAAAACGUUGAACAGCAACAAGCUUUAUUACGACAGCAACAGCCUCAGCAGGCUUUACAGCAACAACCUCAACUACAGAAGCCAACAGAACAACUACAGAUGGAAAUAUUUCAACAACAGCCUGAUCAGCAUCAACAGGCAUUACUACAACAGAGAGAGUCGCAGUUGCAGCAACAAGUUCUAAUGCAACAACAGAUUGAGUUACAACAACAGGCACUACAAGCUGAGAAGCAACUACAAGUUUUAUUGCAGCAGCAACAACAACAACUACUUUUGGAGCAGAAUACAACUCUCACAGUUCAUAGUGGGCAACAGGAAACAACUAUAAAAGCAGAGACUAUACCACAAAUCAGUCAACUACAACACUCUCAGCAAAACAUUUCCCCACAACCUCAAUAUCAUUCAAGUCUUGCUCAACAACAAACAGAGCAGCAACAAGUCUUGAUUCAGAAGCAACAAGCUGUCCUCCCCCAGCCAUUGCAUAGAACUUCCCUGGUAGAUUUACAAUUUCCAACUAUGGUUCAAGCAGUUCCACAAAUGGUUACCACUCAAAUACCUAGUCAAGUUCCCACCCCAAUACUCAUUCAGCAACAGAGGCCACCUCACCAGUCAUCUCAACCUUCUUCGCAAAUGCAAAUCCAGAAUCAAGGGGAGUCAGCAAUUUGUGGUCAAAUUUCACUGCAGACGGAAAGUCUUUGUACAGCACAGUCAAUGGGAGAGAAUAUUCAAGCAAGCCAGUUGCAAGUUUCACAACCAACCCAACAAAUCACAUCACCAACACUGGCACAAGUUCCAACACCAAAUUCUAUUCACUCUUUUGUCCCAACUCAGAUUCAAAUAGUCUCAAAAGGGCAAAUCCUUCCUUCACAAACUCAAAUGGUACCAAUUCAAGCUGCAGCUUCUCUCCACUGUCAGGUUCCAGUUGUGUCACCUGCACCUCUAGUGCAUGUCCAAGGAAAGGCUGCAGCUACAUUUCUGCCCACACAAUAUGCCCAAGCACCUGUCGCUCAGCAAACCAUCCAGUCAGUUCAACUAGACCUCGCGCAAACUGUGAAACAACAACAGUCUCCUCUGCAGCAAUGUCAGCAAGCAUUGCUGUCUCCACUAUCACCUAUACCUUCCAUUGACCCAAUAGCUACUUCAUCAACUCAGUGCUACACACAACAGACCAACCAACCACAAAUGCACGCCCAGGCUAUGCCACAACCAAUCAUACCGGCUCUGCAACAGUCAGUCAGUGUGGCCUCUAUGCAGACAGUUUUGCAGCCGAUGCUUCCAGUGCAGCCUCAGGCUACCCAACAGAAUGAGCAGCAGCUGUCUACAGCCCAACAUGUGCAGCAGCAGAAACAAUUCCUCCACCAUCAGCAUCAAGCCCAACCUGUGCAACAGCAGCAACCCCUCAAUCAAUAUCAAGCCCAAACUGUGCAGCAGCUUCUGCCAUCAAAUGCUGUACCACCCCAAGAUCUGCAGCAACAGCCAUCUCAGCUCCAACAUAUUCUCCCUAUGCACAUUCUACCCAGUCAGAUACCUCAAACCCAAGCAAGGACAGGACACAUAGUCUCAGGUCCUCCCCCCUCCCCCCAAAACCAGCAAAAACCAACCCUUCCUGCUCAAACUCAUUCACAGACUAGCAUGCAACCACAAGCACACUUAAACAACCAGACACAUGUUCCAGUGCAUGCCCUCACAUACACACAGACCCACAUAGGAACUACUGGGAAUUUUGAGCAGCCUCCUUACUCCCAAGCUGCCUUUAUGCCUUCACAGAUCCCCCCAAGUCCAUCUCAUACUUCCCUACAACCCUCUGCCAUUCUUCCAACACAACAGCCAGCUGUCCCAGUUUCAGAAAUUCCUGUCUCAACACAUGCAAUGCCAGCUGACCUGAUCCCUGUCCCCCCUCCUACUGUCAAUUCCUCACAGUCCCAUGACACUUAUGGCUCUGUGUUGUCCACCACCUCGCUGGCAGACAGUGAUGCUGCAUUGUUGAGCAUUGCUCAGGAGAGCCUAAAUCAAUCUACCAACAAGAGUUCUUCUUCAGGCUCUGCUCCUACCAAUGGAGAUGAGUCUCAAAUGCUGUGGGCUAGUGGAAAACUGGAAAAGGUGAAAUCUCAGAGGAGAGCUUCCUGUCAGAAGACUGAAAAAACUCAUUUUCAACUCAGCAUGUUGCAGGUCUCGUGCACUGGGGACAACAUGGUAGAGUGUCAACUGGAAACUCACAGCAACAAAAUGGUCACAUUCAAAUUUGACAUUGAGGGAGAUGCACCUGAGGACAUUGCAGAUUACAUGGUGGAGGAGGAUUUUGUCCUUGAGCCUGAAAAAGAAAAUUUUGUUGAGGAGCUGAGGGCUAUAAUGAAGAAAGCUCAAGGAAUUCUAAUCACUCAGUCACAGGAGCAGCUCCAUGUAAGCACCCCAUCCAGUGCAUCAACGGAUGCAGCCCCUCAAUCUUCCCCGGUGGGUCGCUGGCGGUUUUUCAUCAACCAGACAAUUCGCCAUCGUGACUCACACUCCAACCAGGGAGCUUCCACUCCCCCUCCAGUGGGAGAGAGCAGAGUUCCCAAGUCCAUAGAAACCGAGAAAGACUAUGAAAUCCCUCAGCGAUCAGAGUCUUUUGCUGGAAUUGCAUCAUCUCCAAGUUCUUCACUGUCUGCAAACUCUCCUCCGGUCUCUACUGUAUCUGCCCCUGCAUCCAUGUCAACCUCGGCCAUUGCCGCCCACAAAGACAUCACACCCACUGCCAUGCAAAAAGUAGAACAAGUUUCCUCUGCUACUUUGAUCACAGACCCAAUCCCUGUCAUGUCCUCAAGCCCUUCUGCUCCUUAUUUCCCUGUGGUUGUGGCCGUUGUGGGCUCCAACAUGGCCUCAGGCGAUAAUGCUUUUAAAUUGCAGAGACAUUCUGAACAGCCUCUCUCUACCAUGUCAGGUUAUGGGUCCCCACCUGCAUCACUGGUUGGCCAUGCUGAUCCUUCGCAGCAGUUUUUUGCUCCAACCCAAAUGGCAACCUCACAGAAGCCUGAGAUACUUCAACAAACCCUGGCAACUCACCAGCUUCAAGACACCCAGACACUACAGUCAACAAUAGGUGCUACAGAACAGAUGCAGGCUCAGCAACAGCAGAUUACGCCUCCCCUGCAACCGCAUGUUCUAAAGGCAGGCUAUUUGGUCACUCCACUGCAACCACAACUACAAACAAUCCAAAGGCCAACUGAAUCAAAAACACAACCAAUGCCAAUGGAGACAGUGCCCCAACCUUUGCACGAAAGUCUUCCAGCAGUCCAGCAGCCACAGUUGCACCAAGUUCUGCCAGCUGUGCUACCGCAGGUCCCACACCAACAAAUACCAGUUCAAUCUCAACAACCACCAAUGCUGCAAACCACAUUUUUGGAGCAGCAUAGCCUCCAGAAAACAACCAAUCAUGAACAUGUUCCCAUAGACCGGUAUGUUUCUCAAGAAACAGUGCAGGCCCCAACAAUGCUGUCCAUGCAGCAACAGCAUGCCUUCCAAACCCAAGAUCCCCUACAGCUUCAAGCACAGUUUCAGCCUGUGAUCCCACAGCUGCUCCCCACUGAGCAGACCCAUGUCGUGCAGCCACAGACAUUACUUCAGCAGUUACCACAUGAUAUGCUGCACUCUCUACCAAUGGCACAAACCGAAGUGCCUCCAGCUGUGCAGAAGCAGGCAUCUCUCCAGCACUCUGAGUCGGAGCUGUCAAUGGGUGAGGCCAGCGUAGAGGACCCCAUCAGCCACUCUGCCCUGCCCCAACUCUCUUCAGACCCCUCUCUCCCACCUCUCCUUCUCUCUGAAACCGCUCUGCCAGCCCUCUCCCAAACAUUUACCACCUCUCCAGCCCAGCCCUCCUCAGUAGCAGAAUCAGACAGUGAAGGCCCCCCGAAAAUUGAGUUUGUCGACAACCGUAUUAAGACUUUGGAUGAGAAGCUUAGAACUCUGCUGUAUCAGGAGCACAGUGGCAGUGGGUCAACACUGGGAGGUGUCACCACUGGCGCCCCGACCUCUGCAUCUGCUGCAGUCUCCACCUCAGUGGGAGAUGACGAGUCUUCAGACCCUCACUAUGCAUUCUCCCCCCCUCCUGUCACCUCUUCAGACACUUCCCCUCUCUCCACUUCUUCUUCCUCCUCCUCCUCCACCACCCCGUGCUCUUCCUCAACUUCUUCAGAUGGAGAGGAGAGAGCAGGUGAGGAGGAGUUGUCCCAAUCUGCUGCUGUGCAACACCAGCCUGCCUCAUUGUCCUCUACAUCCCCACCAUGCUCUCUCGUCUUCCCCUCACUGGAGCCCAGAUCUCCGCCUUUGCCUGGUGAACCCUCAGUAAGCGCUGCCCCCUCCAUUUCAGAAACCUGCACCCAUGGAGACGUUCUGUUGCCUUCCACUUCUCAGCAUCCUGUCCCUCUGUGGCCUGGAAAGCAGCAGCACAAUGAAGGAGGUGGAUAUUUUGGCCUAAACCUGACAUGUCCUAGUAUCAGAAAUCCUGUUAGCAAGAAAUCCUGGACUCACAAAUUCAAAAGCUGGGCAUGCAAACUGCGCCACUCUGCCAGCUUGUUCACGAAGCCCAGAGUCCAGCAAGAUGGCAACUCCAACAGUCAGGGGAUAAAGGAGGAGACAGAGACAUCUACAAAUGUCCAGCCCUACUCACGCAGAGGACGUUUCCAGGUGAUUCCAGUGUCCCAGCCCAAAGAACCCCCUCCAGCACAAGUUGGUCAUUUCUCUGUCACUCAGGCUGAAAAGAGAGAGGAACAUCUAAUGGCCAGCUCCCCAGUUUCACCUGACCUGGACAGAGAGAGGAGGAGAUUGAAAGGGAAGAAUGGUGAGAAAGAGGAGAAGAGAACUACAGCACCCAGCCACCCACCCAGGGGUCACUCACCCCUGGGAAGCAGCGAUGAUGAGAGUGAGGUGGAGGAUGAAGAUUUAAGGAGAGAACUCCACAAGCUGAGAGAAAAACACAUUAAAGAGGUGGUAUACCUGCAGGCACAGCAGAACAAAGAGCUGCAGGAGUUGUACUGGCAGCUUCGCUCUUUUAAAGACCACAGGCAGCCUCUUCCACUGACCUUGCCUAGGACACCUCCUCUGCCCAACAGUCCCUUCGCCAUCUCCUCACGUAGACCCCGACCCUCUAAAGCCAAGCUCCGGCCCCGACCCCACUCUCACAUGGAUAACAAUGGAGUCAUACACCAAGGGAGUCUUCAGCAGUCCAGCAGUUAUUCUGGCGGGGAGCUAAGCAGACUCCACUCAAAUUGCAAGCCAGAGAAGACCUCUUCGCUGACUGCUAAUAGAGACCACAGUCCCUCAGCACAGAGUUCUGCCAUCAGAAAGAGCACGUUCACAGAUGAGCUGCACAAACUUGUUGAUGAGUGGUCAAAAGAAACUGUUUUUCCUGUUCAGCCCAAGCCUUCACUAAAUCAAAUCAAACAGAUCCAACAAGUGCAAGAGCUGGGCGGGUGGGGCCAACCUGCUGAGACAACUGCUUCAUCUGGAUGGUUUCCAACAGCUCCUAUGAACCCUCAGAGUGCUCCAUUAUCAGUCACCUUGUCUACAAUAGCUUCCACCCCCUUUAGCGCCAUCGGUGGACAAACACAGCCACCUCCAACACAGUUUCCUAUUGCUCCUGUACCCCAGCAGAAUGCACAUUUGCAGCCUGCCCUGCACCUGCAGCAGGUCCAGCUUCUGUCAGGAGCCGUGCCACAGUCCCAAACCCAAUUACAGCCCCCAGUCUCUGGCACGCCUCCACAGCUGCCUUCCCACACCAACUCCCCCUCUGUCAUGACCACAACAGGGCCUCCGCUGCCUCCUGCCACCAGCAUCACAGCUGCCUCUGCCCCCACCACAGCCAAUCAAGACACUGUCGCUACCACAAACUCCUGCUCAUGCUCCUCUUCUUCCUCGAAAUCCGCUCUGCCUUCCAGUGCCAAACUUCACGCCAAGCCCUCCACCUCCACCCUUCCCUUAGGACAGCAGUGAGAUGGGGACAAAUAUGCUUUGAUGGAGCGAGAAUGAGAGAUAGAAGAGAAGAGCACUUGAAUGGUCUUAUUCAGACAGAACAGACUCUAAUGAACAUCUUUUACAGGAAGGAAACUAGUAGCAAGCGGUUGAGUGUUUGUGUGCAUGGGUAUGGGGGUGUAAAAAUUACGUAGUGUGUUUUUGUGUGCGCGUGUGUUUGUGUUGCAUUUUCCAAUUCAUAUGCUCUGUGUAUUUCCGCACUGUCAAGUUUUAUAUCCAACUUAGUUGGACCUUAACUCUCCCUAUAUAGAGACAUGUUGGAAGAAGACCGUUUUGACAUGAAAUAUGAUGAUCAUUGUUUUUAUUUAUCAGUGCUUCAAAUGAAAGGACUAUUUGAAUUUAAGUGCAAUUAGUAACUGAUAUUUGAAUUCAUCUUUUCUGUGUUGUUUUGACGUGGAUCUGUAUAGUUUAUAAUAAAUAUUUUUUUAUAUGCGUACAGAAACAACAACCAGACAUUAGCCGCGAAGCGCCAUCUUAAAGACAAUGAGCACAACGGAUUCCACAGGCAGUGAGAUUAUAAGCAGUCGCAUCUACAGCAUGUUCCAGUGCAGAGCAUGGUAACAGUAACCUUGCAACCAUCAUCAUAGCUAAAACAAUCAAAACACUGUUGUACAGUGUUGUGCACUGAUAAGGCAUGCUCCUCAUGUAUUUUAUUUUACAAUGAUUAAUAACGGUAACAUUUACACUAGCAAAGAUUUUCUAGAAUAACAAAUAGCCAUGGACUAAUUUUACACUCCUGCAUUCUGCAGUUGAUUCUGAGAAAAACUCUUCAGUUCUUCAUUUAAUUUCAAAAGAGAUUAACCAAUAUGAUUGCAGUAUUUUCCUGUUUUAUCUGAAGUUAUACUUUUUAAGGUUUACAAUAUUAACAUUAAUCCCAUGGUGAAGAGUGCAAGACUAGACAGCUGUUUUGAAAGCUCACGUGAAGUGAACGCAGCUUGCUCUUGUUCAUGUGUAUUUUGCACAGCCCUGUAUGAACAUGCUUUUGUGCACGCCAAACUGUGAGUUUGCUUUUUGUGAACACGAUGCAUCAUCAAAACACUGGCAAAAAGAUUCUUGGAUUUGUUCAACAAUCCAAGAUUUCAUCAGAUGCUACUCUAAUGCAUGCUAAGAAAUCUAUAACUGCCAAGCAAAUUUAUUGGUAGAACAUCCACAAGUAGGUUGCCUUUUAGAGAGAGUGUAUUUUUUCUUAAGCUCUGUAUGUGAUUCUGUUUGACCAAGAUGCCAGUGCCCAGCCUUUAAUAAUCAGCAGCUAAUUCUGUCUUGCUGCCGUAUUUUACUCAUGUACAUAUGAGUUAAACCCCUUUGUUAUAAAGAACCCCAAAAGGGAUUUAAGUACUUUGUCAGACAUCAAGGAGCUCAAGACAACUUAGGCCUGUACUUCAAACAUCUAACUAGACUCUUCCAGGGUAUCAUUCAUAAACAAGUAAUGCCCAUAUUAAUAAAGAAUGACCGUGUGUGUUCUUGAAUGUUGCGUAAGUAAAAAAAGGUGAUCGAAGGUGUGAAUCAUGCACCCUGCCAUUCAGAUGGAUAAAGAAUGCUCUGCAUUUUUUAACAAUGUUGGUGAGAGAUCGACUGGGGGAAUGUAGUAUGUACUUCACAAGUUCACAGGGAAUAAAGAAUUGGGGGGGGGGGGAUUUGUGAAGCCUUUUAAUUGUGAUAAUGCUUGAACUUGUGGAUGUUUCAAAAAAAUAAUUCAACAUGGCCGCUGCCUGAAGAGGGUUGUGAUCAUUCAGUUUCCAGUAUUUUGGUCCAGCAUCCUCAGUAAGCAGUGGUACAUUUGUGGUGUGGAAAGACCGUGUCAAAAAAAAACAUUAUCAAUAUGAUCUCAACAAAUGGGAAAUGUAAAGAACCCUCUGCUGAAGUGUUACCAAAAUGUCAUCUAAAAGAAAGCAUUAUUUUUGUAUUUUGCAAGGUUUGUAAACAUGUAAAAUUGUGUACUGUAUUGAGAAAGCUGUGGUUAUCUGAUAACAAGACUUGUCCCAAAUUGUUUCUUGAUGGCCUCCAACUUUACCACAAACAUUUGGCCUGAGAUUGCAAGGAGAUUUUUUUAAGUUUAGAUCUUUAAUUUGAUGCGAGUGAUUGGGAAAAUUGUAAGCCAAAUCAUUGCUGCAGUGGGGUUUCGACUGGGUGAAGAUGUAUGGCAAACCAGAAGCACCCCAGAAUUACUUGACUGAGCACCAAUAAUAAAAGUAGGUCCUUGUGGUGGCAUGGUUACUCACUUCAAUCCGGGUUGCAGAAGACAAAUCUCAGUUGCCACCACUUCUGAGACAGCCAAUCCACGCAUCUUAUCACGUGGCUCGCUGUGCAUGACACCGCGCAGACUUGCAGCAUGUGGAGGCUCGUGCUACUCUCCAUGAUCCAUGCGGCCCAUUGAGAGCAAGAACUCUUAAUUGCGAACACGAUGAGCUUACCCCAUGUGACUCUACCCUCCCUAGCAAUUGGGCCAAUUUGGUUCCUUAGGAAACCUGGCUGGAGUCACUCAGCACA
Xyrauchen texanus (razorback sucker) is the source of this 12783-nucleotide RNA transcript. It is a transcript of the gene named serine/threonine-protein kinase WNK3, with no coding region annotated. The record is from RefSeq and is a predicted model, not a curated record. The transcript has 26 exons. Lineage: Eukaryota; Metazoa; Chordata; Actinopteri; Cypriniformes; Catostomidae.